Molecule: non-coding RNA, 73 nt
Organism: Trichonephila inaurata madagascariensis
Lineage: Eukaryota; Metazoa; Arthropoda; Arachnida; Araneae; Nephilidae
Source: the annotation of a GenBank genome assembly
GUUCCUGUAGCGCAAUGGAUAGCGUGUUGGACUUCGAUUCCAUAGGUCAUGGGUUCGAAUCCCACCUGGGAUG